GUGGCGAGUGGCGAACGGGUGAGUAAUGUAUCGGAACGUGCCUAGUAGCGGGGGAUAACUACGCGAAAGCGUAGCUAAUACCGCAUACGCCCUACGGGGGAAAGCAGGGGAUCGCAAGACCUUGCACUAUUAGAGCGGCCGAUAUCGGAUUAGCUAGUUGGUGGGGUAACGGCUCACCAAGGCGACGAUCCGUAGCUGGUUUGAGAGGACGACCAGCCACACUGGGACUGAGACACGGCCCAGACUCCUACGGGAGGCAGCAGUGGGGAAUUUUGGACAAUGGGGGAAACCCUGAUCCAGCCAUCCCGCGUGUGCGAUGAAGGCCUUCGGGUUGUAAAGCACUUUUGGCAGGAAAGAAACGUCAUGGGCUAAUACCCCGUGAAACUGACGGUACCUGCAGAAUAAGCACCGGCUAACUACGUGCCAGCAGCCGCGGUAAUACGUAGGGUGCAAGCGUUAAUCGGAAUUACUGGGCGUAAAGCGUGCGCAGGCGGUUCGGAAAGAAAGAUGUGAAAUCC
RNAcentral lists this ribosomal RNA (518 nucleotides) under Achromobacter sp. EB76. RNAcentral describes it as "bacterial SSU rRNA". It matches the Rfam family "Bacterial small subunit ribosomal RNA", at positions 88 to 602 of the family's 1533-position model. Lineage: Bacteria; Pseudomonadati; Pseudomonadota; Betaproteobacteria; Burkholderiales; Alcaligenaceae. The record is from RNAcentral.